ACUGAAGGAUCAUUACCCUUCUUAGGUUUACCGAUGCUGGAAUGCUCGGUAACUCAAAGUUCCGGCGCCUUAGGAUGGAUCUGCGGCCGAUUAGGUAGUUGUUGGGGUAACGGCCCAACAAGCCCGUAAUCGGUACGGGUUGUGGGAGCAAGAGCCCGGAGUUGGAUUCUGAGACACGAAUCCAGGCCCUACGGGGCGCAGCAGGCGCGAAAACUUUACAAUGCGGGCAACCGUGAUAAGGGAACCUCGAGUGCCUGUACAUGCAGGCUGUCUGGGUGUCUAAAACACACCCAAAGAAAGGGCCGGGCAAGACCGGUGCCAGCCGCCGCGGUAAUACCGGCGGCUCGAGUGGUGGCCACUUUUAUUGGGCUUAAAGCGUUCGUAGCUGGGUUGUUAAGUCUCUUGGGAAAUCCGGCGGCUUAACCGUCGGGCGUCUAAGAGAUACUGGCAAUCUUGGAACCGGGAGAGGUGAGGGGUACUUCGGGGGUAGGAGUGAAAUCCUGUAAUCCUCGAGGGACCACCUGUGGCGAAGGCGCCUCACCAGAACGGCUUCGACAGUGAGGGACGAAAGCUGGGGGAGCAAACCGGAUUAGAUACCCGGGUAGUCCCAGCCGUAAACGAUGUGCGUUAGGUGUAUCGACGACCACGAAUCGUCGAGGUGCCGAAGGGAAACCGUGAAACGUACCGCCUGGGAAGUACGGUCGCAAGGCUGAAACUUAAAGGAAUUGGCGGGGGAGCACCACAACAGGUGGAGCCUGCGGUUUAAUUGGACUCAACGCCGGGAAGCUCACCGGAUAGGACAGCGGAAUGAUUGCCGGGCUGAAGACUCUGCAUGACUAGCUGAGAGGAGGUGCAUGGCCGUCGUCAGUUCGUACUGUGAAGCAUCCUGUUAAGUCAGGCAACGAGCGAGACCCACGCCAACAGUUGCCAGCACGAUCCCCGGAUCGGUGGGGACACUGUUGGGACCGCCUCUGCUAAAGAGGAGGAAGGAAUGGGCAACGGUAGGUCAGCAUGCCCCGAAUUAUCCGGGCUACACGCGGGCUACAAUGGGCAGGACAAUGGGUAUCGACACCGAAAGGUGAAGGCAAUCUCCUAAACCUGUCCGUAGUUCGGAUUGUGGGCUGUAACUUCGCCCACAUGGAAGCUGGGAAUCUGUAGUAAUCGCGUUUCAUAAUGCG
RNAcentral lists this ribosomal RNA (1178 nucleotides) under uncultured Methanomassiliicoccales archaeon. RNAcentral's name for it is "bacterial SSU rRNA". It matches the Rfam family "Archaeal small subunit ribosomal RNA", at positions 139 to 1317 of the family's 1478-position model. Lineage: Archaea; Methanobacteriati; Thermoplasmatota; Thermoplasmata; Methanomassiliicoccales. The record is from RNAcentral.